GAGUUAAGAAAAAGCAUAGAAGUCUCAAGCAAUAGUAGGAAAUGCUGCUAACAUUGAGCCUACAUUACAGGCAUGGCUUUUUUUAGCUGGAACUUGCUGGAACUCAGUUCUGGCACCACUCAGGAGGGCGCCAUUGCCAUUCUGAGAGAAGGAGGGAGGUGUUCGUGGUGACUUCCAGCACCUCUUUUUCUAGAAAAAUAGUGCCGAUUAUAGGUUCUCUCUGAUCACCUUUUCAUGCAGUGACAGGUGCCACACCAAAAUUUCCAGCAGAUACCUUGCAGGUGCCAAUCACUUAGUUGGUAGUAUAAUAUGUGCCAUGGAGUGCACUCAGGGCUAGAAUGUACAGACUGGACUCUGUCACCAUGCUAGAUGAUUAGUACUGUACAUAGGAACAACUCCAGGGGCCAUGGGGGCUUUGGCCCCCACAAUAAAAUAUUUGAGGGGGCCAGGCUCCCACAAAGUUGAUGGGCAUUCCCAUUCAAAUGGUGUGUGUGCACUGCGUCGUGAUCAAUUAUGCAAGGUGGGGCUCACCUGGGCACCCACAAUAUCUUAUUCAAGUUUGCACCCCUGGUACUGUAGGCAAGAGAGAUUGGAAACUACUGAUAUUUAAAUUCUUUUCUUAAUGUACAGAUGCUGACAAACUAUUCUUAGACCACUUCCUAAUCACAAAGCUAAAGGUUAGUACACUAAUAUUUACCGAGUAAAACAAACAGCGCCCUGUGUACUUUAGACAGCAAACCUAUAUCGCUCUGGGAAAUUGCAGUAAUCCUUAUCAUCACACCCGAUGCAAUAAAGUCUCCACAAUAUGGUGCACCCGCUUAUCCUUGCAUAGUGAAUGACUUUUGAACUUGGUGACAUAGAUUUACUAUGUCCUGGUGUUUUUCCAAACAACGAGUCUAACUGGGGACUUUAGUGCCAAUGCUCUUAAACCCAACAUAGCUAACAUAGUACUUCAUCCAUAUGUAACAUGGUGGUGCAGGAGAGCCUGUUCCCAGAACUUU
Long non-coding RNA from Podarcis raffonei (Aeolian wall lizard), 1001 nucleotides. RefSeq lists it as uncharacterized. The transcript has 2 exons. The record is from RefSeq and is a predicted model, not a curated record. Lineage: Eukaryota; Metazoa; Chordata; Lepidosauria; Squamata; Lacertidae.